Molecule: transfer RNA, 77 nt
Filed under: Effusibacillus dendaii
Lineage: Bacteria; Bacillati; Bacillota; Bacilli; Caryophanales; Alicyclobacillaceae
Description: Effusibacillus sp. skT53 tRNA-Pro
Rfam family: tRNA
About the family: Transfer RNA (tRNA) molecules are approximately 80 nucleotides in length. Their secondary structure includes four short double-helical elements and three loops (D, anti-codon, and T loops). Further hydrogen bonds mediate the characteristic L-shaped molecular structure. tRNAs have two regions of fundamental functional importance: the anti-codon, which is responsible for specific mRNA codon recognition, and the 3' end, to which the tRNAs corresponding amino acid is attached (by aminoacyl-tRNA synthetases). tRNAs cope with the degeneracy of the genetic code in two manners: having more than one tRNA (with a specific anti-codon) for a particular amino acid; and 'wobble' base-pairing, i.e. permitting non-standard base-pairing at the 3rd anti-codon position.
Source: RNAcentral
CGGGAUAUAGCGCAGUUUGGUAGCGCGCUACCUUGGGGUGGUAGAGGUCGUGGGUUCAAAUCCCGCUAUCCCGACCA